This is a long non-coding RNA of Numida meleagris (helmeted guineafowl), 1482 nucleotides long. RefSeq lists it as uncharacterized. The transcript is spliced from 3 exons. The record is from RefSeq and is a predicted model, not a curated record. NCBI's taxonomy places the organism in Eukaryota, Metazoa, Chordata, Aves, Galliformes, Numididae.
UUGUUAAUCCACUUCAGAUGCAGCAAUCAAGAAAGAGCAUCGGAUGAAAAGAAGAGGAUCUCUUCCCUUGGGAUGUUAUGUUAUGCUUAUAUAAAUGAGGGUAUAAGAAGCAAAGAUUGUGUUCAAGGCAACCUGCAGAUGCAUAUUACUACCAGAGAACAGGACAUGGUUGACUUCUGGGAUGGAAAGUAGGGAACAAUGACAGCAGGGAGAAGCCAGCACCUGGAGAACAGAGUAACUUGACAGCAAGCACUUGACUCUCGAGAUCAGAAGGGAGAAAAAGACAUGUGUAACUUUGCAAAAGCUAAGGGCAUUUGGAAAAGUUACAGGAUGGCAAAAGAAGAAACACAGGAAGAUGAAAGGAAACUAGAUGACAGAUAUUCCUAAUUUGAAUGCGUCCUGACAACCUCGUUCAAUUAUGGCCUCUCCUUGAGUUUCUGGAGCGUGCUAAACAAUCAUGGUCUUUGCUCUCAGACCAUCUCUUCUAUAUCUAGGAAUACAGGUUCAGAAAAAUUUAAACUAUCAGGUUCUCUUAUUAUCAAAAUGGGAAGUCCAUUCAUGAUUGGUCAAUGGAGACCAGUGCCUGACCACUGAAGUGUGCUCAUGACUUGUUGAAAAGCACCAUCUGCUGCGAGCUGGAACUGCAGCAGGGACCAUGGCAGGGCUGUCCUAUCAACUCUAUGGUGCAGGCGACUGAACUGCGUUGUGGUGUACGUCUUCUGUCCCUUUUUAAUAUGUUAACAUAAGCAAGGCAACAUAGGCUGCAUCUGUGACUGCCCAUGCUGCCAGCCAUAAGCGAUUUUAGGUUGUUGGGUGCACAGAGCUUUUUCCCAUUAGGCUGCAGAACUUGUCCAAAUUCACAGUUCACUGUGGGGUUUUAUGCACUGGUAUACCAGAGGAGUUUGGAUUUGAGUGGUGCUUUGUAGCUAAAUAACCAGUAGAAGCCCAAAUGAUGUAUUUUAUAUAUGUGGAGAGCUGCUGUCUGAAUCAAGUCUGAGUCUUGGUCUUGUUUUUAUUCCUUGGCCAAUAAUUCCUGAGCCCCGGACUCCCGUUUUAAUUGUUGGCCAUUUUUCUCUGAUUCAGUUCAGAAAAACAAUGAAACUAAAGAUAAAAUCAAUGGAUUCUCAAGUAAUGUGAAAUUAAUUUACUGGUAGGAUAAUCAUACUGCAGUCAAGGGACUAUUCACAGCUCUAAGAAUCAUAGCAUGAAAGAAGAGAGAUCAUGUUCUUCACUGCUACUGUAAGAACACAAAAUAUUCCUGACAGACAGACCCAGAGACCUGAAGGUCUAGGCAUUGCUAUAAUCCUCAAAGAGAUUUCAUAAUCCUUUUAAUAAACCUUCUGAAUUCCAAGAUUGCUCCUAUAGCACAUUUUUCAGGGUCUUCUGCAGACGUGCUUUAGAUUUGCUAUGUGGUGAAACUUCCAGGGUUGCUCUGCAGAAGGCUGACCUCAGAGGAGCUGCUGUGAGAUUGCUCAGUAUGUU